GGCUCUAUGGGACAAUGGAUAGUGCAUUGGACUUCUAGGCUGGAAGCUAAGCCAUUCAAAAGUUGUGAGUUCCAGUCCCAUCAGAGUCG
RNAcentral lists this transfer RNA (89 nucleotides) under Danio rerio (zebrafish). It matches the Rfam family "tRNA". From Rfam's summary of the family: Transfer RNA (tRNA) molecules are approximately 80 nucleotides in length. Their secondary structure includes four short double-helical elements and three loops (D, anti-codon, and T loops). Lineage: Eukaryota; Metazoa; Chordata; Actinopteri; Cypriniformes; Danionidae. The record is from Rfam by way of RNAcentral.